GUGCUGACUUUGGCAGCACAUAUACUAAACUUUGAAGGACACAGAGAAGAUUAGCAUGGCUCCUGUACAAGGAUGACACAUAAAUUCAUAGUUUUAGACAUAUAA
Molecule: small nuclear RNA, 105 nt
Organism: Peromyscus californicus insignis
Lineage: Eukaryota; Metazoa; Chordata; Mammalia; Rodentia; Cricetidae
Source: RefSeq, a predicted model, not a curated record